CCGACGGGACGCAGCAGUGAGGAAUAUUGGUCAAUGGGCGCGAGCCUGAACCAGCCAAGUCGCGUGAGGGAUGAAGGUUCUAUGGAUCGUAAACCUCUUUUGUAAGGGAAUAAAGUGCGGCACGUGUCCUAUUUUGUGUGUACCUUAUGAAUAAGGAUCGGCUAACUCCGUGCCAGCAGCCGCGGUAAUACGGAGGAUCCGAGCGUUAUCCGGAUUUAUUGGGUUUAAAGGGUGCGUAGGGGGACGGUUAGGUCAGCGGUAAAAGACAGGGGCUCAACCACGGCGAGCCGUUGAAACGGGCGGGCGUGAGAUGAGGAGAGGUAUGCGGAAUGCGCAGUGUAGCGGUGAAAUGCAUAGAUAUUGCGCAGA
Molecule: ribosomal RNA, 369 nt
Filed under: uncultured bacterium
Lineage: Bacteria
Description: partial 16S ribosomal RNA
Rfam family: Bacterial small subunit ribosomal RNA
Source: RNAcentral